AAUAAUCUAUGUGGCUACUACAUCUGUGAGCACAUGCACAGUUUUAUGGGACCCAAGGGACUGAAGAUGACGUUGCACAACUUUAAAGUACGUAAAAUAAAACUAUUACUAGUUAAUUAUUUUCUAGCUCCUUAUAUGUAUUUGUUCGUGUAACAUUCACAAAUUUCCAAAUUAUAGAUGUUAAAUAUUCAACAAGGACUCUUGAAGGAAGAAAGAGUAGCGGCAAUAUGUGAAGGUCUCAUUGGAUUCCUA
Molecule: long non-coding RNA, 252 nt
Filed under: Setaria viridis
Lineage: Eukaryota; Viridiplantae; Streptophyta; Magnoliopsida; Poales; Poaceae
Description: long non-coding RNA (SVIR_LNC001847)
Source: RNAcentral